UUCACCUACGGGAGGCAGCAGUAGGGAAUUUUCGGCAAUGGGGGGAACCCUGAUGCAGCGACGCCGCGUGGGUGAAGGAGUAUUUCGGUAUGUAAAGCCCUAUUAGCAGGGAAGAACAAUGACGGUACCUGACUAAGAAGCACCGGCUAAAUACGUGCCAGCAGCCGCGGUAAUACGUAUGGUGCAAGCGUUAUCCGGAUUUACUGGGUGUAAAGGGAGCGCAGGCGGCGCGUUAAGCCUGGUGUGAAAGCCCGCGGCCCAACCGCGGGACUGCAUUGGGAACUGGCGCGCUGGAGUGCCGGAGG
This 305-nucleotide ribosomal RNA is filed under the name uncultured bacterium. RNAcentral's name for it is "bacterial SSU rRNA". It matches the Rfam family "Bacterial small subunit ribosomal RNA", at positions 334 to 655 of the family's 1533-position model. The record is from RNAcentral.